This 846-nucleotide long non-coding RNA is filed under the name Dromaius novaehollandiae (emu). RNAcentral describes it as "lncRNA (ENSDNVG00000006736.1)". The record is from RNAcentral. Lineage: Eukaryota; Metazoa; Chordata; Aves; Casuariiformes; Dromaiidae.
CUAGAUGCCUGAGUCAUUGCUUCACACAUCCUGCCUUGCUUCAGCACUUCCUCAUUCAAAGCAGGGGCUCGUCGGAGAAGCACCUUUGACUCUCAGCAGUCGCAUGCAGGAUAUCAAGAGAAGUUCCUCACAGGCCGCACGAGGAGCCUACGGAGCCACCUCGCCCCCACGGGAGUUAAGCACUCCUGCGCGUACGCAGUCCAAUUCAGGCAGCUGGAUGCCGCACGCACACAUCAACGGAUAGAGCUUUGUUUCAACAGAGGCAAAAGUCACAGCUGAAGUGCCUGGUGAAUUUAGUGACGUGGGACAAUUCCUAGCAACUGGGAAGCCACAAAAAUGAAAAGGGAGACUGCUUUCUGGAUGGUUGCCUGUUUACUGUUCACAUCUCUACCCAGAGGUCAGCCAGACACAACGUGCCAUGCAUUUGUGGGAGAAACUGUCAUUUUGCCUUGUACCAUCACCUCUCCUGGAGAGCUAGAUGUUUCCGAUUCAAAGCUCUACUGGCAGAUAGAGUCUACUAUAGUGCAUUUUUUUCACAAUGGGGAAGAUUCACUGAGGUACCAGGAUAUAAAUUACCGUGGCAGAACCAGUCUUUUUUUGGAUGAGGUGAAGCAUGGCAACUUUUCUCUACAGCUCUCCAACAUCCGAUUAGAGGAUGCAGCUGAAUAUACUUGCAUCUAUAAACAGGCUAGGACUCUCUCCAACAAAACACAGAAAUCUAAAAUUAAACUCAAUGUAUCAGAUCACAGUCAGGCUUCCCCAAGAAGUCCUGGUGAUGCACAGGGACUAGAUAUACUUGCUCUCUCUUUUCAUCUCCUGGUAACACUGGUGGUUUGGCAUUUGUGA